CCAGAUGUUCUUUGUUCCCAGAAAUAUUCCUCCCCACCAGCCAGUAGAAGGGAGCUGGUGCUGGUAUACGGUCUGCUCCUCCUGUUUGCAGCGCUCACCAUGGGCUGCACGCCCCAGCGCCAGGAGCGCGUCGCCUCCCCUGGGCAGGCUGGGAGGUAGGCAACCAGGACAGGGCCCACACUGCUCAGCUGCCCAGCACAAAGAGGGUCUUUGCUUCCAGUGAGGAAACUGUGGGUUUCUCCUGACCCAAGAUGUGUAAAACGAAGCUCGCUUUGGGCACGGCCUUGCAGCUGCCCCCAUCAGGGCAGUGCUGGCAUCCCUGGGGAGCUCUCCUCACCACGCCAUACUCUGCAUCCUGCAGCAGUGGGACCAGUCCCCAGUGCGGGCUUCAUAUUUACGCAGCUUUCCCUGUGCCCUGAACUCUGCCUGUGUCUCCGGCAGAAGGGCAGCUACCCCAGGUCAGAGCACCGCCUCGAGCCGCCGGGGAAUCGGCUUUCAAUUUCUGCCGUGGCUUUCCUUCCCUUUUUUCUCUUAUCCCUCCAGCCAUCGCAGAAUAAUUCCCAUCCCUAUUAGCUUACCCCCCUCCCCCUUCCUCCUCUGCCCCUUUGAAAUCCUCCCUCCUGUCCCCGGGAGGGGCGGGGGGCGGCGGGAGAAUUCCUCCAGAUAUUACACAAAAGCCUCAUGCAUCCCCAGUGUCAACCCCAGAGGGCGGCCGGAUCUGCCAAGGCUGACAGCUUCCAUUUCUUCUGCAACAACCUUGCAUAAGGAUGGCAUUAGAAGGCAGCGUUUGAGUCUACUUGAGCAGCUUAUGAUUCCACCAGUGGAUCCAGGGGAAAAUUUUAAAACUCGAAAGCUUGAGUUAGAGCUUGACAGUUCCUCUUGUUCUCACGCCAGGGGUGUCACUCAUGCAUCCAAACAGUUUCUUCGUUACCUGAGAAGAGUGUUCCUAACUUCACCAUCAUUCCUCGGCCUUCCCUGA
RNAcentral lists this long non-coding RNA (979 nucleotides) under Anser brachyrhynchus (Pink-footed goose). Its description in RNAcentral is "lncRNA (ENSABRG00000017674.1)". Lineage: Eukaryota; Metazoa; Chordata; Aves; Anseriformes; Anatidae. The record is from RNAcentral.